GCUCACAGUUCUGGAAAAUCCCAAGUCGGAAAGUGCACCUCCUCUCCAAGGACUCCCAGGAAACCUAGCAUCAUCUAACGGACCUUGUUUAAUGGCGUCUAUUGUCUGUUGCCCUCACUGGAACAUGAGUUCCAUGAUGGAAGAGGUUUUCCGGAACCUCAGUUGGUACCUGGUCCUCAGGAAGCACUCCGUAGAAAUUGUUGUGUGAGCAGUCAUGUGCGAGGUCCUUGCCUCACCUCCAGACCUCCCUGAUGAAGUGACCAUUAUCCUUACCAACCUCCGUCAGUGUCCUGGUGGGAAACAGAAUUCCACUCUGGAGAGCUUCACUGGAUGUUAAUGAAGCCCAGUUCCAGAGCUGUGAGGAGCUGGGACUUCAUAGGCUUCAGGGGCUACUGGAGCUGAGUGGGUGGAUGGGGAGAUGGUCCCAGAGCUCACAGCUGUGAAGGGGGCGGGACUGAGGGCCUCUGCUUGACGAAACCUGGAAGAGAUCAGAAGCCUAGGUGCUGCAGCGUCCAGGGUCCAGAGCCUGGUGUGGAUGCGGGGCACAGAGAGUGUGCAGGACACUCCUCUCAGGGGAGAAAACGCAGGUGGGGGAGGUCUGGGUAGAGAAGGUGGGCGGCUCCUGGUCCCAGGCCCACCACCAGCCACGUGGCCCCCUGGGAACUUGGGGAGUCUUCAGGCUAGGAAGCAAGUCAGGAAUCUGUCUGGAGGCAGAUUCCAGUCUUCUGAGGCAGACGGGCAGCAUGCUUGUGCCCCAUGUCAGAGGUGGUAAGAGCAGCCACACCCACCACACCCAGGACAUCCUCCUGCUGUGGCCUCUGCCAUCAGAGCCAAAGUCCAGGUCAACUCUCCCUGCCUUUCCCAUGACCAGGAGUGAGGCCUUGGGAAAUGCAGCAUUAUCUUUUUUAAACUAGCUUUCUCAUCUGUACAAUGGGGCCACAAUGCUAUGAGGAUGUUUCCAGCUUCCCCGCUCCUGGGGACAAACUUUCUGCCCUUCUCAUGGUUACAGCUAUCCUAUGGGUUCUGGCCCAUGAGUUAUCAGUAGAAGCUUCCAGAAGGGAGCUCCUAAUGGCCCCUCCUGAGCUCGCCUCUGGUAUGUCGAUGUCAGACAGUCAAACGUUUGUUCUGGAGCCCCCAGCCAACCCUGCGAUGGAGGACCACGUAGCAGGAACAAGAAAUAAACCUAUAUGCUUCAAGUCUCAGA
Long non-coding RNA from Bubalus bubalis (water buffalo), 1204 nucleotides. RefSeq lists it as uncharacterized. The record is from RefSeq and is a predicted model, not a curated record. NCBI's taxonomy places the organism in Eukaryota, Metazoa, Chordata, Mammalia, Artiodactyla, Bovidae. The transcript has 2 exons.